This 452-nucleotide ribosomal RNA is filed under the name uncultured bacterium. RNAcentral describes it as "bacterial SSU rRNA". It matches the Rfam family "Bacterial small subunit ribosomal RNA", at positions 28 to 476 of the family's 1533-position model. The record is from RNAcentral.
GACGAACGCUGGCGGCGUGCCUAACACAUGCAAGUCGAACGGAACUUCUUUAAAGGAUUUCUUCGGAAUGAAUUUGAUUAAGUUUAGUGGCGGACGGGUGAGUAACGCGUGAGUAACCUGCCUCUAAGAGGGGAAUAACAUUCUGAAAAGAAUGCUAAUACCGCAUAACAUAUAUUUAUCGCAUGGUAGAUAUAUCAAAGAUUUAUCGCUUAGAGAUGGACUCGCGUCCGAUUAGUUAGUUGGUGAGGUAACGGCUCACCAAGACCGCGAUCGGUAGCCGGACUGAGAGGUUGAACGGCCACAUUGGGACUGAGACACGGCCCAGACUCCUACGGGAGGCAGCAGUGGGGGAUAUUGCGCAAUGGGGGAAACCCUGACGCAGCAACGCCGCGUGAAGGAUGAAGGUCUUCGGAUUGUAAACUUCUUUUAUUAAGGACGAAGAAAGUGACGGU